Molecule: long non-coding RNA, 1403 nt
Organism: Tympanuchus pallidicinctus (lesser prairie-chicken)
Lineage: Eukaryota; Metazoa; Chordata; Aves; Galliformes; Phasianidae
Exons: 4
Source: RefSeq, a predicted model, not a curated record
UCCAGCAGGCAGUGAGAAACUGAGCGUGGUGGGCUCCAGAUCAGAAAAUCUACCCCGAAGAUUCAGAAUCAGUUACAAACCAUGAAGACAUUGAUGUUUGCCAUUGUCUGACAAAGGACACUUGCCUCUUUCAGUGCUGAGGGUAAACAGUCUCACAAAAACCUGCCGAGCACCUGCUGAAUAAAUCCUCAGAUAGCACAAAGGACAAUCAGAAUUGGAGCCUGAGGAUUCCUCUAUUUUUUAAGUACUAAGGAGCGCUGUAGUGCAACUGCAGUGGAAGAAUGCAAAGCAAGAGCUCAAGGAAAGUGAGCAUGGUCAAUGCAUGUUUUAUUCAUAUGAAUCACGGUGUUUUUGUAUGGAAUUAUUAAACUACAGGUUGGUGUUAAUCUACAGUUUGUUAAAUAAAUGUAGUUGUUUAUUGGAAUGCCUAAGGAAUGGGGUCAAUACUCCCUCCACCCUUGCAUAGCAUGGCUCUUUGAGUGGGAACCCAGAGCAGUCACAGUGCUGACACAACUCCUCUAUCCCUCAUCCCCAUAUCAGCACAUGGUUCAUUAUCUGCUUUUACUCUAAGGUGAAGCAGAUCAGAGAGUUGUCAAACCCCUUAGGAAGCAUAUGCUGUAACCUUAUUAAUAGGAUGUGAGGAAGCGUGGCUCUUAUGGGCAGAGUCCCCUCAGCUGCUGUUGUAGAAGUGGGGUCUUGGCAUUUUAGCUUAAAUCUAAGCAUUUUCAGCUUAAGGAAAGGCUGAGAGACCUUCUCCUUAGAAAAAUUACUUACAAAUAUUUCUUCAUAGAAUUCUUAUAGAAGUUCUGGCUGUCAUCAGUGGCACGAUAACAGGGAAAGAACAACAGUAUUUUUUCCUUCCAGUACCUAAAGGGGCCUACAGGAAAGCUGAGAAGGGACUUUUUAUAAGGGCAGGUAGCAGCUGGACAGGGGUAAAUGCUUUUAAACUGGAUGAGGGGUAGAUUUAGACUAGCUAUUAGGAAGAAAUUCUUGACUGUGAGGGUGGUGACACUGGAAUAGGUUGCCCAGUGAGGUUCUGAAUGCCCCUCCAUGGAAGCAUUCAAGGCCAGGCUGGGUGGGCUUUGAGCAAGCUGGUCUAGAGGGAGGAGUCCCCGCCUUUAGCAGGGGGUUGGAACUAGAUGAUCUUAAAGGUUCCCUCUAACCCAAACCAUUCUGUGAUUCUGUGAUUUUCCAACAGACAAAUUUGUUGAUGAGUGUUAGCAUUGCAGCUGCCAGGUAAUAAUCAGUUGGUAACCCAAUACAAAAUUGCUAAAUAGGAAAUACUAUGUAGAGAUCACAGGUGUUCUUGUAUUCAAUCUUGCUUUCAUGUUUUUAGAAUUGCAGGUACCUAUUCUGAAGCACAGUCCUUGAUUCUGAGUGGAUUCCAAGUUUUACACCUAGAU